Molecule: ribosomal RNA, 662 nt
Filed under: uncultured haloarchaeon
Lineage: Archaea; Methanobacteriati; Methanobacteriota; Halobacteria; Halobacteriales; Halobacteriaceae
Description: bacterial SSU rRNA
Rfam family: Archaeal small subunit ribosomal RNA
Source: RNAcentral
UGCUAUUGGGAUUCGAUUUAGCCAUGCUAGUCGCACGAGUUUAGACUCGUGGCAGAUAGCUCAGUAACACGUGGCCAAGCUACCCUUCAGACCAGAAUAACCUCGGGAAACUGAGGCUAAGACUGGAUACGGUAUGCACGCUGGAAUGCGGCAUACUCCAAACGUUCCGACGCUGAAGGAUGCGGCUGCGGCCGAUUAGGUAGACGGUGGGGUAACGGCCCACCGUGCCAAUAAUUGGUACGGGUGAUGAGAGUCAGAGCCCGGAGACGGAAUCUGAGACAAGAUUCCGGGCCCUACGGGGCGCAGCAGGCGCGAAACCUUUACACUGCACGCAAGUGCGAUAGGGGAAUCCCAAGUGCGAGGGCAUACUAGCCCUCGCUUUUGUUGACUGUAAGGAGGUCAACGAAUAAGAGCUGGGCAAGACCGGUGCCAGCCGCCGCGGUAAUACCGGCAGCUCGAGUGAUGUCCAAUAUUAUUGGGCCUAAAGCGUCCGUAGCUGGCCAGCCAAGUUCGUCGGGAAAUCCACCUGCCCAACAGGUGGGCGUCCGGCGAAAACUGUCUGGCUUGGAACCGGAAGGCUCAGAGGGUACGUCCGGGGUAGGAGUGAAAUCCCGUAAUCCCGGACGGACCACCGAUGGCGAAAGCACUCUGAGAAGACGGAU